Anastrepha ludens (Mexican fruit fly) is the source of this 2517-nucleotide long non-coding RNA. RefSeq lists it as uncharacterized. The transcript has 4 exons. The record is from RefSeq and is a predicted model, not a curated record. NCBI's taxonomy places the organism in Eukaryota, Metazoa, Arthropoda, Insecta, Diptera, Tephritidae.
AAGAAAAAUUAAAUAGAAAGAAAAUAAAAUGAAAUAAAGUAUAAUAAAAUAAUAUAGAGUAGAUUAAAAUAAAAUCAAAUAAGGCAUUGAAUAAAAAACAAAGUAUUUAUUUGAGUUAUUUGAGUAUUUAUGUGAGUUAUAUAUGCAAAUAUUUUUUAUUUAAUUUUUCUGUUUUUAUAUCGAGCUUUAGGCAAUUACCAUUUUUCGGCAACCAAUUGCCACAUUUAACCUCAGUUGAACUCGUUGGCGUUCAAUUAAAAUUACAUCGCCUUCAACAUACUACAAUAAACGCAAAAAGAAACGUAGAGAACUAAAAAAUAUUAGUGCCAUUUGAUAGAAAACUGAACUUCAAUAAAAUCGAAAACGUCAAAAUAAUUUAUACUGACAAUGCCAUGAAGUGUUGCAUUCAGUUCUGCAGCAUUGAAAUGCAGCUAAUAAACAAUAAUGCAUACUAAAGCAAAUUAAAGCAUUCUAAUUGGAAGACGAAAAUUGAAAGAUAGGAGAAUGUCAAAACGGCAUGUACAUACAAGUACAAACACACAUGUAUGUACAUAUGUGUGUACAUUAGAGCGCCCACCAAAUAUAUGGGAUGUGCAAAAGUAUUGUUCUUUUCGCUUCCCUGCCAUUGGCGGAUAGGUCGCGUUUUUAAAUAAGAUUUGCAUUAGAAAAUAUUUCUUCCUAAACGAUCCUCCUAGUGAAAAAUAGACAUUUUAAGCUGAAGAAAUGUUCUGCAAACGAGCCUUCUGUAGAGCCGAAAGUGAAGCGCUGACACUGGGUUUUCAUUUAUGUAUCUUAAUUCAAGCAAAAUAAUUACGAUCUUAAAAUAUUCUUUUUUAGGUUAUAAUUACAUUAAAGUGAACACGAAUUUGUUGUUACGAACUAUAAUAUUAAGAUUUAUUGUACGUAGUAGCAUAAUUUUGGUAAAUUUGAAUUUUUUUUAAUUAUCGUAUAAAUUUGUUAAAACGUGAUCUAUUCAAAAAUUAGCGAGGAGCGAAAAAAAAUAAUAAUUUUGCACCUUUGCGUGCUCUAAUACACAUAUCUACAUACUCGUAUAUGUAAAAUCAAGUAAAUCGCAUUAUUUUCUUGUGGAAUAUCUAUGCAAGUAUUUGUAUAAUUUUCUUGCUAAAAUAUGUAAAUAAGUAAAUAUGCAUAUAUGUACAUACAUACACAUAUACUACAUGAUAUUCUUGAACAUUUUUAUAGAUUUAUUACCUACAUAUAUGUAUGUAUGUAUAUAGAAAAUAGCAGCACAUUUGCUCAGGCAACAACAAAUGAGCAACUGACAAUAUGUUAACAACAGAUGUUACCCAGCAGGCCAUUAUAUUUGGGUCUCAUUUGCUUUGGGUACGCAAAAGCAAAUCAUUUCAAAAGACUCGAAUAAAUACGGUCAAAAGGCUAAUGUUACAAAGCCACUUCCGAGCCUAAGUAAUUUUAGCGAUAUGUGCAUAUGUUGUAAAUACCGGAAAUAAAAGCAAUAAACUAAAACUGAGACCUAAAUGGGAUCAUAAAAUCAAACAAAAGUGAAGAGCGAUUAAAUAUAACAAAAAUGAGAGAUAACAGAGAAUCAACAAAGCUCGUUAUUAUUAAAUAUUUAAAUAAUUUAACGUAAUACAAAAUUUAUAAUGCAUAAUUAUUGAAAUUUAGUGUUUGUUAUACUGAAAAUAAAAACGAUAACUCAAAAUUCUGAAGUAGAAAAGGUGUAAAGAAAGUUUGCGAAAAUCAAAGUCUGCGCAGAACGAUGCUGAAAGGAAAAAAAUUUUAAAUGUUAAAAAAUAUGUUGAUUUUUCCAAUGUCCGACUACUGAAGCCUAAGUGUCCGAGAACUAAACAAAAUACGUAACCGGAACGAUCCGGAUUUAUAUCCGGUCAAGGACUGCACGGGCAAUGUUUAUGCUGCUACAACAGCAACAACAACAGAACGAAAAAAAAGUAACGCCCUUCUUAAGCAAAACGAUUACAGUGAAACCAACCAUGGGCGGGCACUAACCGUCAAGCAACUUUUGCCCACCCAUGAGAGGUGUCCGCUCAAGGUCAUUGUCCUCACACAUCCACUUUGACGAUGAGUUUUUCCAGUUUGCAACCUGAUAAGAAAAAUCGGACGCAUACAUACAUAUAUACUAAAUGUAAUGAAUUCAUAAUUUUUUAUCUGGAAAAAUUAUAUAAUUAAUUAAGACAGACAAAUUGAUUUCCUCAUAAGCGUUAAUAAAAUCACGGCGCAACACACUAAAUGUGGGCAUACAAAAAGUCACAUCUUAUCCGGGUGGUUAAAUUUCAAGGGCCGAUGUUGAAUGUGAACCACACCUAAACGUCAACGACACCGUUCGACUUCUUUCUUUGGGGUUAUUUGAAAGAAAAGGUGUACGUCGAUAAGCCAGCAAAAAUUCAAGAGCUAAAGGUUGAGAUAAUUCGGCACAUUAACGGCAUAGAACCUCAAUUAUGCCUCAGCGUCAUCGAAAAUUUGGACCCUCGGAGGAGGUGUGCCGCCGAGGCCGCGGUGGCCAUUUUGUUCCAUACGUAA